ACUCAAAGGAAUUGACGGGGGCCCGCACAAGCAGCGGAGCGUGUGGUUUAAUUCGAGGCUACACGAAGAACCUUACCUGGGUUUGACAUGCACGUGGUAGGGAAGGGAAACCGGACCGACCUUCGGGAGCGUGCACAGGUGCUGCAUGGCUGUCGUCAGCUCGUGCCGUGAGGUGUUAGGUUAAGUCCUGUAACGAGCGCAACCCUCGGGGUCAGUUACACGGUGUCUGGCCCGACCGCCCGCGAUAAGCCGGGAGGAAGGUGGGGAUGACGUCAAGUCAGCAUGGCCUUGAUAUCCAGGGCGACACACACGCUACAAUGGCCGGUACAAUGGGUGGCGAAGCGGUAACGCGGAGCAAAUCCAACAAAGCCGGUCUCAGUUCGGAUUGCGGGCUGCAACUCGCCCGCAUGAAGUCGGAGUUGCUAGUAACCGCCGGUCAGCUAUACGGCGGUGAAUACGUUCCCGGGCCUUGCACACACCGCCCGU
This 486-nucleotide ribosomal RNA is filed under the name uncultured bacterium. RNAcentral's name for it is "partial 16S ribosomal RNA". It matches the Rfam family "Bacterial small subunit ribosomal RNA", at positions 899 to 1397 of the family's 1533-position model. The record is from RNAcentral.